Molecule: transfer RNA, 75 nt
Filed under: Caldinitratiruptor microaerophilus
Lineage: Bacteria; Bacillati; Bacillota; Clostridia; Eubacteriales; Symbiobacteriaceae
Description: tRNA-Thr
Rfam family: tRNA
About the family: Transfer RNA (tRNA) molecules are approximately 80 nucleotides in length. Their secondary structure includes four short double-helical elements and three loops (D, anti-codon, and T loops).
Source: RNAcentral
GCCGGUUUAGCUCAGCGGCAGAGCAACCGCCUUGUAAGCGGUAGGUCGUGGGUUCAAAUCCCACAACCGGCUCCA